Molecule: non-coding RNA, 627 nt
Organism: Salmo salar (Atlantic salmon)
Lineage: Eukaryota; Metazoa; Chordata; Actinopteri; Salmoniformes; Salmonidae
Source: RefSeq, a predicted model, not a curated record
UUGAGGGAUGAUGACAAUCGUUGACCCUGUUUUUCUGUUAGACAAAUUGCACAGUUGGAUGCCAGACUGAUCGUUUGGUCAUGAACGGAUGCCGGGACUUACCAGAAAGAACAAAGCUUAUCAGGCAAGACCUCAGAAUAAAAGUAUCAUGCGACACAAGUAUCCCUGUGCCACCUCCGUUUUUGCCAGUGUCCCUCAACUCCUAAGAAAAAGACUCUCCAUCAUGAGGCCUCUGAUACUGACCUGAGGUAUUGCCCUGAUGACACAGAAGGCUUAAUCAACAACGACAGUUUUUCAAGAUAUGUCCAGUUUGCAGCAGAACAUGCAGCAUAGAGAAGACCAGCAAUGGAGCCCUUAUAAGCAUCAUGCCGACAUGCACUUGCUGUGAGCAUUCCUAUGAAUGGUACAGUAUUGCCAAGUAUCCAGCCAGCAACCUUCACCUGUCAGCGGCAACAGCUUUCACAGGCUCAUCAUUUGUACAAAUACAGAAUGUAACUUACUUUGACAAAUUAGAUAACACUAUUGUGAAGUACAAUUAUUGUAAGCUGAUAUUUUAGAGGAUAGCUCAGCUUUAAUAUUGCAGAUAUAUUGUGGCAUCUAUCAAUGUAAUUGUCUGCAUAAUUUCCA